GACGAACGCUGGCGGCGUGCCUAAUACAUGCAAGUAGAACGCUGAAGAGAGGAGCUUGCUCUUCUUGGAUGAGUUGCGAACGGGUGAGUAACGCGUAGGUAACCUGCCUGGUAGCGGGGGAUAACUAUUGGAAACGAUAGCUAAUACCGCAUAAAAUUGAUUAUUGCAUGAUAAUUAAUUGAAAGAUGCAACUGCAUCACUACCAGAUGGACCUGCGUUGUAUUAGCUAGUUGGUGAGGUAACGGCUCACCAAGGCGACGAUACAUAGCCGACCUGAGAGGGUGAUCGGCCACACUGGGACUGGGACACGGCCCAGACUCCUACGGGAGGCAGCAGUAGGGAAACUUCGGCAAUGGGGGGAACCCUGACCGAGCAACGCCGCGUGAGUGAAGAAGGGUUUCGGAUCGUAAAGCUCUGUUGUAAGGGAAGAACGGGUGUGAGAGUGGAAAGUUCACACUGUGACGGUAUCUUACCAGAAAGGGACGGCUAACUACGUG
Molecule: ribosomal RNA, 497 nt
Filed under: uncultured bacterium
Lineage: Bacteria
Description: partial 16S ribosomal RNA
Rfam family: Bacterial small subunit ribosomal RNA
Source: RNAcentral